RNAcentral lists this ribosomal RNA (380 nucleotides) under Sclerophytum leptoclados. RNAcentral describes it as "partial 28S ribosomal RNA". The record is from RNAcentral. Lineage: Eukaryota; Metazoa; Cnidaria; Anthozoa; Malacalcyonacea; Sarcophytidae.
AAACCGUUGAAAGGGAAGCGAAUGGAGUUAGCAAUUCGCCCUGCCAGAUUCAGUUGUUCGCACUUCGCGACGUGCACGCUCUCGAUCCGCAUGGACGAGACGUGCACGGACGCGACGUGUGGACGGCGCACUUCUGGCGGGCGAGCGUCAGCGUCGGUCGUCGACGGGCGACAAGGUCGCGAGGAAGGUAGACGUGCCUUCCGGCGCGUUGUUAAGACUCGCGUUCGCAUGGCUCGACGACGACCGCGGCUCCUUCAUGCGGAGGCAACGCGUGCCUGGCUGGCGACUCGUGCCAUCGGUCCGGCAUGUCAACCGCGGCGGACGGCACGCGUGUGCGCUCGAACUGUUGUCGGUCGCUCGCACCAUGUUCGCACACUACG